This 207-nucleotide ribosomal RNA is filed under the name uncultured bacterium. RNAcentral describes it as "partial 16S ribosomal RNA". It matches the Rfam family "Bacterial small subunit ribosomal RNA", at positions 1294 to 1500 of the family's 1533-position model. The record is from RNAcentral.
CGGAUUGCAGCCUGCAACUCGGCUGCAUGAAGCUGGAAUCGCUAGUAAUCGCGGAUCAGAAUGCCGCGGUGAAUACGUUCCCGGGUCUUGUACACACCGCCCGUCACACCAUGGGAGUCGGGAAUGCCCGAAGUCAGUGACCCAACCGAAAGGGGGGAGCUGCCGAAGGCAGGCCUGGUAACUGGGGUGAAGUCGUAACAAGGUAAC